UCCAGACUCCUACGGGAGGCAGCAGUGAGGAAUAUUGGUCAAUGGGCGGAAGCCUGAACCAGCCAAGUCGCGUGAGGGAAGAAGGCCCUGCGGGUCGCAGACCUCUUUGGACGGGGAGCAAGGCCGCCGACGUGUCGGCGGAAGGAGAGUACCCGUAGAACAAGCAUCGGCUAACUCCGUGCCAGCAGCCGCGGUAAUACGGAGGAUGCGAGCGUUAUCCGGAUUUACUGGGUGUAAAGGGCGUGCAGCCGGAGAGACAAGUCAGAUGUGAAAUCCACGGGCUCAACCCGUGAACUGCAUUUGAAACUGUUUCCCUUGAGUGUCGGAGAGGUAAUCGGAAUUCCUUGUGUAGCGGUGAAAUGCGUAGAUAUAAGGAAGAACACCAGUGGCAAAGGCGGAUUACUGGACGAUAACUGACGGUGAGGCGCGAAAGCGUGGGGAGCAAACAGGAUUAGAUACCCGUGUA
RNAcentral lists this ribosomal RNA (466 nucleotides) under uncultured bacterium. RNAcentral describes it as "bacterial SSU rRNA". It matches the Rfam family "Bacterial small subunit ribosomal RNA", at positions 330 to 792 of the family's 1533-position model. The record is from RNAcentral.